Molecule: long non-coding RNA, 715 nt
Organism: Nymphaea colorata (pocket water lily)
Lineage: Eukaryota; Viridiplantae; Streptophyta; Magnoliopsida; Nymphaeales; Nymphaeaceae
Exons: 2
Source: RefSeq, a predicted model, not a curated record
GUAAAAUCGACGGAACAUCGAACAGGAACAAUCAACACACGCUUCACGAAACAGCCCUCCCCCGACCCCGAGCUCCCCUUGUCGUCACACUUUCUCUUCCUCUCCUCCUCCUCCGUCUCUACCCUCCGAGCAGCUCUUUCUCCUCCGUCUCCACCCCUCGAGCUGCGCCCUUUCUCUUUUUCUCCUCCUCCUCUGUCUCUCCCCCUUCUCUCUUCUGAGUCUUCCUCCCGCCCGCUGCUCUACCCCUUUCUCCCUGUUCUCUCUGUUGCUCUCUAUGCCCAUUUCAUUGCUGCAAGGAGUUCCAUUGCCGUGAAUAGCUUUUUCCAGGAUCUGUUUGACGAAAUACAUGAAAGGGAUGUCGCACGUGGAGCCCAAGGAAGAGGAAGAGGAAGAGGAAGAGGAAGAGGAGAUGUUGCUGCCUGCCUGCCCCUCAAUCGGCCCCGCUUGGCGGUAGAGCCAAACGGAUAGGUUCUGCUACAUGGACUCGCUUCUCAUUGUACAACAACCCUACUUUCAAACUUAUUAAUAAAUGAUUUCCAAUAUGAAAGAGAACUAAUUCUUUUGAUAGUUGACAGAAAUGAGGACAUUUAUCAACUUAAUGUCAUCGUCUUUUGCUUUGUAAGCCAUAGUGUUUUCUUCCUAUCAAAGUUAGGAGAAUGGACUUUAUGAUAGUUGAUGUUAUAUUACACAAGUUUAUCUUGAUUUUUAUAACUGA